This is a long non-coding RNA of Pipra filicauda (Wire-tailed manakin), 737 nucleotides long. RefSeq lists it as uncharacterized. The transcript is spliced from 3 exons. NCBI's taxonomy places the organism in Eukaryota, Metazoa, Chordata, Aves, Passeriformes, Pipridae. The record is from RefSeq and is a predicted model, not a curated record.
CGCGUUUUCCCCCUGUUAGGCAAGUUGCUACUUCUUCUACAUGAAGACCUUUGCUUCAUUUUGCUCCGAGUAGAAAACAAGAGUUUCUGCCUGACUGGUUGCACUGCACUCCUCCCUUUCCCUCCUUUGCCAAGAUGUGUCUGUAGGCAUGCUCCCCAAGUUAUUUUAAAGACAGGCUGGCACUAAGGCACUCACAGUCAAAGGAGAGGAAAAAGAUGAAGACAGAUAUUUUCUCUUUGCUGGCAGGGGACAGCAAGCCACUGGAAAAGUGUCCCUUUGGAGGAUAAGAGAGACUCUUCCUCUUUGGCUGGCAGAGUAACACACACAGCUCCCAGCUCUCCAAAGGGAAAACAACUGCCUGUAGGUGCAAUACUCUGUUCAUGGGGGAAACAGAGAAGCUUUGCCUUGAAUCUUGCAGGACAAUUUGUUGCCUGAAAGGAUCCACCGAGAUGCAACAAGCUCUGUUUAGAAACGAACAUAUCCAGCCUGGAGCAUGGGGAGAGAGUAAAGCAUCUGUUUGACUUCCUCAACGGGUUUGCUGUGUGUAAAUCAUUUAUCCCUGCUCCUGCUCCCCUUCCUUGACUCUCACAAUUUGUAUUUUUGUGUUAAAAAAAGUGAUGCUUGCCUUUCUGUUGGCGAGCAGCUUGGGACACAUUGCCUGGAGUCUGACCUCAAAGUAGGGUGGGAUUUGAAUCUGAAAUCCACUCGGUUUGAUCUCACAGGAACUGCUGCGUUGC